RNAcentral lists this signal recognition particle RNA (95 nucleotides) under Aestuariispira insulae. RNAcentral's name for it is "Bacterial small signal recognition particle RNA". It matches the Rfam family "Bacterial small signal recognition particle RNA". From Rfam's summary of the family: The signal recognition particle (SRP) is a universally conserved ribonucleoprotein involved in the co-translational targeting of proteins to membranes. Lineage: Bacteria; Pseudomonadati; Pseudomonadota; Alphaproteobacteria; Rhodospirillales; Aestuariispiraceae. The record is from RNAcentral.
AGGUCGGCGGCGGACGAACGUCCUCGCCAACCCGGUCAGGUCCGGAAGGAAGCAGCCGUAACGAGUUUUCGUUUGGGUCGCAUUGUCGAUCUUCC